This 29-nucleotide non-coding RNA is filed under the name Mus musculus (house mouse). Lineage: Eukaryota; Metazoa; Chordata; Mammalia; Rodentia; Muridae. The record is from RNAcentral.
UGAUGAAUGUGGUCCUGGAGUUUUCAUGG